AGAAUUAGUCAUACUGAAAAUAAGAAAUGACCCGUUUAAAAUGAAAUUUUGAAAACUGGGGCUAAAGUGCAAAAUUAAAAAAAAAAUGGUCAUAUAGGACCCACGUCAGCAGCAUGACUAGUCGUCGUGCACCGCAUGGAAGACAUGUCAGUAAGCAUUCCACGCGGGUAAUCCGCGUGCCAAUCAAUUCAACGACCUAGAUUUACUGU
Molecule: long non-coding RNA, 209 nt
Filed under: Carica papaya (papaya)
Lineage: Eukaryota; Viridiplantae; Streptophyta; Magnoliopsida; Brassicales; Caricaceae
Description: long non-coding RNA (CPAP_LNC012913)
Source: RNAcentral